GCUAGGCACAGUGGUGCACACCUGUAAUCCCUGCCACUCAGGAGGCUGGGGCAGGAGGAUCACAAGUUUGAGGCUUCCUUAGCAUCUUAGCAAAGCCCUAAGCAACUUAGUGAGACCCUGUCUCAA
Molecule: small RNA, 126 nt
Filed under: Marmota monax (woodchuck)
Lineage: Eukaryota; Metazoa; Chordata; Mammalia; Rodentia; Sciuridae
Source: RNAcentral